RNAcentral lists this ribosomal RNA (494 nucleotides) under uncultured bacterium. RNAcentral's name for it is "partial 16S ribosomal RNA". It matches the Rfam family "Bacterial small subunit ribosomal RNA", at positions 28 to 507 of the family's 1533-position model. The record is from RNAcentral.
GACGAACGCUGGCGGCGUGCUUAACACAUGCAAGUCGAACGGUGAAGCGCCUUCCUUUUUGGUGGGUGUGGAUGAGUGGCGAACGGGUGAGUAACACGUGAGUAACCUGCCCCCUUCUUCUGGAUAACCGCAUGAAAGUGUGGCUAAUACGGGAUAUUCUGGGUCUGUCGCAUGAUGGGUCUGGGAAAGAGAUUGUUUCGGUGGGGGAUGGGCUCGCGGCCUAUCAGCUUGUUGGUGGGGUGAUGGCCUACCAAGGCGGUGACGGGUAGCCGGCCUGAGAGGGUGGACGGUCACACUGGGACUGAGACACGGCCCAGACUCCUACGGGAGGCAGCAGUGGGGAAUAUUGCACAAUGGGCGCAAGCCUGAUGCAGCGACGCCGCGUGAGGGAUGGAGGCCUUCGGGUUGUGAACCUCUUUCGCCAGUGAAGCAGGCCUGCCUCGUUUGUGGGUGGGUUGACGGUAGCUGGAUAAGAAGCGCCGGCUAACUACGUG